RNAcentral lists this unclassified non-coding RNA (400 nucleotides) under plant metagenome. RNAcentral's name for it is "partial contains small subunit ribosomal RNA, internal transcribed spacer 1, and 5.8S ribosomal RNA". The record is from RNAcentral.
UUUCCGUAGGUGAACCUGCGGAAGGAUCAUUUCUGAUUGGGUGGGGCGGUUGGGCUCGUAAGGGAGACAGAGAGUCACAUCUUUGCUUCUAAUGGGUCCUUCCGUAUCCACUUGACCAAGCGAGAGUGUGGUAUAAGCGUGGGCAAUCCCCAUCCAACUGAUUGGGGCUGGCAACUUUUUUAACUAAAAGUGUCGCCCCAACCGUUGGUGGUGGUUUAGCUCUUUUUUUCCAACCAACCAAAAUACUAUGAUGAGUCGUUAUUGUGAGCUAGUGACUUGUGCUUUAUUGCUUGGCGUUUGACCUUCAAGCCUCAGGUAUGAAACCAAAUCACAAAAUACAAAACAAAAUACACAACUGUCAACGGUGGAUCUCUUGGCUCGUGCAUCGAUGAAGAACAGC